This 73-nucleotide transfer RNA is filed under the name Marmota monax (woodchuck). Its description in RNAcentral is "tRNA.Ala". Lineage: Eukaryota; Metazoa; Chordata; Mammalia; Rodentia; Sciuridae. The record is from RNAcentral.
GUGGGGUUGUGGCUCAGUGGUUGAGCGUCCACCUAGCACGUGCAAGGCCCUGGAUUCAAUCCUCAGCACUACA